GCCCCGAUAUCCCAACGGCAGAGGAAAUGGUCUCAAACACCAUCUAGUGUGGGUUCGAAUCCCACUCGGGGCACCA
This 76-nucleotide transfer RNA is filed under the name Planobispora longispora. Its description in RNAcentral is "tRNA-Leu". It matches the Rfam family "tRNA". From Rfam's summary of the family: Transfer RNA (tRNA) molecules are approximately 80 nucleotides in length. Their secondary structure includes four short double-helical elements and three loops (D, anti-codon, and T loops). RNAcentral also lists the same sequence under 1 other name. The record is from RNAcentral. Lineage: Bacteria; Bacillati; Actinomycetota; Actinomycetes; Streptosporangiales; Streptosporangiaceae.